This 82-nucleotide microRNA precursor is filed under the name Lotus japonicus. Its description in RNAcentral is "miR7519 stem-loop (lja-MIR7519)". Lineage: Eukaryota; Viridiplantae; Streptophyta; Magnoliopsida; Fabales; Fabaceae. The record is from miRBase by way of RNAcentral.
CCAAAUUUUCUAAGUGGGCUAGCCCGCCAACCCGUUUUCCCGUCAAAAUAUGGGUUGGGUUGAGCCCAAAUACUAAAAGUGG